Molecule: long non-coding RNA, 235 nt
Organism: Cyprinodon tularosa
Lineage: Eukaryota; Metazoa; Chordata; Actinopteri; Cyprinodontiformes; Cyprinodontidae
Exons: 3
Source: RefSeq, a predicted model, not a curated record
UUCUAACCGAAGGGUCCAGUUAUAGUGAACCUGACCGCAGCUCCUACCAUCAGGAUCACUGGGAACGGGUUGGCGGUCAACGCAGAGGGUACCGCGCUGUCUGUGGAUAGAGGAAGUCUCAGCCGUGUGAAGUGUCAGCUGCCGAUGAAGGUGGACCUCAGUGGAAGCCGUCUGGUUCUGGUCUCCAAAGAUCCGCAGUGUGAAAUUCAAUCUGUUCCUGGAUUUUUUUUGGGAG